Molecule: long non-coding RNA, 3662 nt
Organism: Acinonyx jubatus (cheetah)
Lineage: Eukaryota; Metazoa; Chordata; Mammalia; Carnivora; Felidae
Exons: 3
Source: RefSeq, a predicted model, not a curated record
UAGGGUGGGGUGGAGUGGGGUAGGGUAGGGUUAGGUAGAGUGCGAUAGGAUAGGGUAGAGUAGGGUGGGGUAGGACAGGAGAAGAUAAUUUAGAAAUAAUAAAAUUAAUUUCUGCCCUUGUGCUUAUAUUACAGUUAAAUGACUUUUGGUUUUGCCUCAGGAACACAUUCCAGCCUUGCCUUAUCACUCAGGAUAAGAAGAUUCCCAGGACAUGUUCAUCAUGGACAGGAUCCAGCGUUCCCAUUUGGAGGGCCAUGUUCUGAAUCCAGAUAGUGGGAACCACAUGGUUCAAGUACUACAAGACAGGCUCACUCCCUGCAGUAUGAAAUUAACUGUGGUCAAGAGAAAUAGGGCAAUGAUCUCCUGCAUUCCACUGGACACGAUUCAUUUGCAUUUCUGUGAAUGAAAAUCAUUUGCACUGUUAGCAGUUUGCUACAACUGGAAGAGUUGUAAGGUAGCUGCAAAUAUAUGACAAUCUCUGUUAUGGACUGAAUGUUUGUGCCCCUCCAAAAUCCAUAUGUUGAAACCCUACCUCCUAACGUCAUGGCAUUAGGAGGUGGGAUCUGUGGAAGUAAUUAAGAUUAAGAUGUCAUAAGGGUAGAACCCUCCAGAAUGGGAUUAGGGUCUUGGUAAAGAAUCCUGAGAAACCUGCUUCCUCACUGUGCUCUUCAGCCAUGCGUGGACACAAUGGGAAGACUGCCUUCCAAACACAGGAAGGGGCCCUCACCAGAACCCAGCCUCUCGGACCACCCUGAUGUGGGACUUUACACCUUCGGGAACCAGAAGAUACAAACUUUGGUUAGACCACCUGGUUUGUGACAUUUUGCUACAGGAGCCUUGCUAAGACAGGUGUUCUACUCAAGUAUCUUGAAAACUUUGUCUCAUCCAUUUCAAACUCCUUUCAAAAUAGAACACGUCCUUCCUUAGCUCACUAGUACACUCACGUGGAAUUGGGUUUUACAGCUGCAUUUAUUAAAGUGGAAAUAGGCAUUUAUUCACCACAUCUCAGCAAGCACCUCCAAUCUGCAAUAAUUCUGUAGACAACCAAUGUAAUUAUUUUUAAGAUUUUAUGUUUAAGGAAUCUCUAUAUCCAUUUUGGGGCUUGAAUUUUACAACCCCAAGAUCAAGAAUCUCAUUUUCUACCAACCGAGCCAACCAGGCACCCCAAUGUCCUUCUUUUUUGUAUGCAAUAAUAGAUGUUUACUGAGCAAUUCUACAAAAUUUACAUUAUGUUACAUGCAAGUGCUUUAUAUAUGUUUUUCAGGUAGCUUUGUUUCCAUUUACACAAGGUAGCCAUGUUGUCAGGUGCCCUAGGGAGACCCCAGGCCCAGAGGCCUCUGCCCAGCUGGUCCCAGGGAUGUUGCUGGAGGAUCCGGGUCUUGUCACAACAAAAAAUUUAAGGACAGACCAGACACAAUGGUUGAACGAUGCAAGUAGGAAUGUUUAUUAAACUGAGCACACCCUCAAGAUGUCAGAGCAGGUGAGCUCAAGGAAAGCCGUAUGCCUCAGGUUAGGGUUUUGAUCUCUUACUGACAGUUGUUGGCUGGGGGGUGGAGUAUUUAUUACUGGGGGAGGGGGCUUGGGGGCAGCUUUCCCCACCUGUUCUCCCUUAGUCGGUCAGGGUUUGCAGCCUCCUUUGUCUUGGGUGCGUCUGGUUUGAUCUGGCUUCUUGUGGAUUUGUUGUGGGGUGCUGGCAGACCAGUCUUGGACUUCCCCACAGCCGGGCACCACUACCCCUUGGCUGGCCUCCAGGCACCCUGUUAGAGCCUAACCUACUGCCUACUCUAACCGUGAAAACAAGAAAGAAAAGAACAGGAGAGGAAAUGCCUAGGACUUUCAUCUAAUUCAAUCAUUCAAGGUUUGAAGUCUUUUUUAAUUACUUAGUUAAUUUUUGAGAGAGAGAAAGCGUGAAUCAGGGAGGGGCAGAGGGAGAGAGAGAAUCCCGAGCAGGCCCCGCACUGUCAGAGCAGAGCCCAACUCAGGGCUCGAACCCACAAACCAUGAAAUCAUGACUAAGCCUAAGUAGGAAGCUCAACUGACAGAGCCACCCAGGCGCUUGAAGUAUUAACUCCACACUAGAUGAACUUGAGCUAACAAUUUCCUCCAUGAAACUUCUGUUUCUCGAUUCCUUCCCUCCUGUCCCCUUCCUUUUUCUGCCAGACCCCUGUUAACUCUGGAAUCCUGGAUGUCCUCUUGCACACUUCACCUCCUCAAAACUAUCUUCCCCAACAAGAAAAAUAAAGAGCAGAUUAAAUAAAGGAAAGGAGAUUCAAAAUUCCUUGCAAAGGAAUGGGUAUGGAGGAGGAUGUGGUUUCUUAUCCAGAAUCCGUCUUAUAUGCCUGGGUCUACUCUACUCCCUGUGAUGUUCCAGUUUCUGAUUCUUGCACGGAAUGAGAAUUAUUCUCAGAAAAGCUUUCACAAAACUUAAAGAAUCUCCCACUUGUCAUACCCCUCCGUUUGCAAAGUAAAAUGGCAUUUAAUCUACGAGGUAGGACACAGGGAAUGCCUGUUAAAUGUCUUUUCUUCAGAAACCUCCAAAGAGCCCCCUCCUCCCAAUGUUAAUGUGACUCCUUGAGAAAACGUAAGAUAAACUCCUUGAGACAAGGAACCCAGGAUGCAGUUGUACUACAGUGUGAUGAGUGAUGGAGGAGCUCGAAGAGAAAGCUUUCUUGAAGUGCUAAGUGAAGACCUCAGUAUAAGGCAGGGAAAGCCUGAAAAUGAUCUCAGGGAGUCCGAUUUUAGCAGAGGGAACAACAUGUACAAAGGCCCAGAGGGACCCAAAGUAUUUCAAAAUGGUAUUUGUGAAGUGUUUGCUGCAAGGAUGUGGUGGGGGAAAAAGUUGGGGAGAUUAACAGGGACCAAAUCAUAAAAGAAAUCUCUACACCCACUGUGGGGCUCAAACUCACAACCCCGAGAUCAAGAGUCCCACUCUCUACUGACCAAGCCAGCCAGGUGACCCCAGAAGGCUUAAUUUUGUAGUCUGGACUUUGCAAUACUGAGGAGCUCAGUCUCCAUGCUGGGGCUGAGUGGGGUCAUCUAUGUCUAUAGUCUGUUAUCAGUUGAAAGAAUCUGAGAGUGGAAUUAGAAGUAAAGUAAAUAUGUAGUUCCUGAGCUGGAGAAACGUGUUAGAGAGCAGAGUUUGAUCUGGACAGCUCAAGGAAGAUGUCCUUACAUGUUAUGAAGGGAAUGGGUAUAAGAUGGGUAUUCCUUCCUUUCAGAUCAAGAGAUUAUCAUCAGGAAAGGGAUCAGAAUAAAGCAUGAGUUUCAACGGCAGCAAAAUAUACUUUUUUUUGGCAUAAGGAUUUCUUUGAGAAAUAGCAGACACAGGAGAAGCCCAGAAAAGAGUACAAGUUAACCUUUUGUAAGGAUGUCUUGCUCUCUGUGAGGAAGAGAAGGUCGACCCCGAGUCACAAGAAACAAGAAGGCACUAACAAACCUUACUCCUGUUCAUACCUUUCCUGGUUAGCUCCCACACCUGGUCUCCCUUGCACGCUCUUUGUUCUGUCUUUAGCUGCCUGAAUUCUCAGCCACCUCUGAGAGUCACUCAUUUUUCCCUAGGUCUCUCCCACGUGUACAUGAGAUAUACACAUUAAUAAACUUGUGUUUCCCCCUCCUUAAUCUGUCUUUUGUUACCGGGACGCCAGCCAAGAAGUUAGAAGGAU